GACGAACGCUGGCGGCGUGCCUAACACAUGCAAGUCGAACGGGGUUGAGUGCUUCGGUAUUCAACUUAGUGGCGAACGGGUGAGUAACGCGUGAGGAACCUGCCUUUCAGUGGGGGACAACAGUUGGAAACGACUGCUAAUACCGCAUAACACUUUUGGGGGACAUCCCCCGGAAGUCAAAGCUUUAUGUGCUGAAAGAUGGCCUCGCGUCUGAUUAGCUAGUUGGCGGGGUAACGGCUUACCAAGGCGACGAUCAGUAGCCGGUCUGAGAGGAUGAACGGCCACACUGGAACUGAGACACGGUCCAGACUCCUACGGGAGGCAGCAGUGGGGAAUCUUCCGCAAUGGGCGAAAGCCUGACGGAGCAACGCCGCGUGAGUGAUGACGGCCUCGGUUGUAAGCGUCUCGUGAUCGGGACGGAACGGUCGAGCGAGACGGAAU
This 441-nucleotide ribosomal RNA is filed under the name uncultured bacterium. RNAcentral describes it as "bacterial SSU rRNA". It matches the Rfam family "Bacterial small subunit ribosomal RNA", at positions 28 to 478 of the family's 1533-position model. The record is from RNAcentral.